AGCAGCAAGGAUGCCACAGUCAGUCCCAUGUGGCGCUCACAGCUGUGGGUGCUGUUUUGCCGUUAGACACUCCCCUCGGCUCUGCACUCAGGACCCGUAUCUCCCAUCACCACCCCGGGUAGAAAAGCGAUCACCGCUCAGACUGCACUGAGUCCCGGGGAACUUCGAAAGACCCGAGCAGGGCAUGCCAGGAAAGGGCACUUCUCAAAGCAGGGCUGCAAUUCCCGCAAUUGCAUCAGACAAUGACACAGCGGCCAAAACUCAGUCACCAGCCCCGCAUCCCAGCCCGCCAAAGACCGAGCGGGGAGCACUGCACUGCCAUGGAAAAACAACACUUCCCGGGAGGGAGGCACGUCCAGCUCCCUGCGAAGAGCCAAGGGCCGCUGGGGCGGUCCGAUAAGGAGCCGCGCACCCCGGGGGCCAAAGUUCAGGGCAAACACACGACUCGGAGCUGCCCUUUCAAGCAGCCCAGGAGACCUGCCAGCAGGACUGAGAGCCCGGGGUGCCGAGCAAGACACCUCGCGGGGCUGGGCGACUGCCAGCCCCCAAGGCGGCCGCAGAGGGUCCGGAGGAUAAGGGGGGGGUGUUGCUGUCCCAUCAGUUGCACUCAGGCGGCCGCUCCUGACCCGCGCGAGGUGCUGCUCCCACCCCCGGGGGGAGCCCGGCGGACGGUCGCUCCCGGGCACGCUGCAGGCAGCACUCACCUGCCAGGAUCGCCUUGCCGGGGUACUCUCCAACAGCUGUAACCAGCCCUGCUAGAUGUGAGUCAGCUCUCAUUGAGUCCUGUGGUCUGUGCACCUUCAUGUUGUUCUUUCCCCAUCAGCAAGUUUGAGGAGUCAGCUAGCAGAUGAAUUGGAAUCUAAUUCAGUACAUAGGACAAUUGACUGGGCUGGAGCCAGUCUCAGAGAUGGACUGCAUCACGGCUAGGAGAAACGGGCUCUUCACUCACUCCUCUCAUCCAGCUGGGCAUAGCAGUUUCUCUGCAGCCAGGGGUUAAUAAAGCUACCGGGGACCAAAACAGCAGCAGGAUAUCAGAGUGAGGACUAGGGGAUCUCGAGUACUGAGUGGGAACUGAAAACUGCAAGGGCUGGUUGACAAGCAUUGGCUACAGACCCAAAAAGCACCUCAAGUCUGGGGCCAUUCAGAUGGAAAGAUUUUCCCCUCCUACUCUUAUCCUAUAAAGAUCAUUAAAAAAUAAAAUCAUGUUAUUUGA
Dermochelys coriacea (leatherback sea turtle) is the source of this 1213-nucleotide RNA transcript. RefSeq lists it as uncharacterized. The transcript is spliced from 4 exons. The record is from RefSeq and is a predicted model, not a curated record. Lineage: Eukaryota; Metazoa; Chordata; Testudines; Dermochelyidae.